ACUUCACAUCUUGUACAGAUAUCACAGUACAUGACGUCAAAAGUCAGCGCUGACGUCACAGGCGCAGGUUAAUUUGUUGAAGUUGUCUGAGAUGACAUGGAAUUUACAGAUAGGGCAUGUGGCAUCACGUGAUGUGUUAUAUUUUGUGACGACACAUCCUAAUAUGACACGAUGUGUUACGUCACAUCCUACUAACAUGACACGAUAUGUGACGUCACAUCCUACUAACAUGACGAUAUGUGACGUCACAUUCUACUAACAUGACACGUAUGUGACGUCACAUCCUACUAACAUGAAACGUUAUGUGAGGUCACAUUCUACUAACAUGAAACGUUAUGUGAGGUCACAUCCUACUAACAUGACACGUUAUGUGAGGUCACAUCCUACUAACGUGACACGUUAUGUGAGGUCACAUCCUACUAACAAGACACGUUAUGUGAGGUCACAUCCUACUAACAUGACACGUUAUGUGACGUCACAUCCUACUAACGUGACACGUUAUGUGAGGUCACAUCCUACUAACAAGACACGUUAUGUGAGGUCACAUCCUACUAACAUGACACGUAUGUGACGUCACAUCCUACUAACAUGAAACGUUAUGUGAGGUCACAUCCUACUAACAUGAAACGUUAUGUGAGGUCACAUCCUACUAACAUGACACGUAUGUGAUGUCACAUCCUACUAACAUGAAACGUUAUGUGAGGUCACAUCCUACUAACAUGAAACGUUAUGUGAGGUCACAUCCUACUAACGUGACACGUUAUGUGAGGUCACAUCCUACUAACAAGACACGUUAUGUGAGGUCACAUCCUACUAACAUGACACGUUAUGUGAGGUCACAUCCUACUAACAUGACACGUUAUGUGAGGUCACAUCCUACUAACAUGACACGUAUGUGACGUCACAUCCUACUAACAUGACACGUUAUGUGAGGUCACAUCCUACUAACAUGACACGUUAUGUGAGGUCACAUCCUACUAACAUGACACAUUAUGUGAGUGUUUUAUCUUGUUUUCGCCGUUGAAGAAAGCCACAGUAUUUAGAAAGACAAGAAAAUAAUGUUACGAAGAAACGACCAAGCAAUGCGUGCUUCAGGAUAAGGAUCAUUGGCAAAUAAAGAUUUAUGUCAUCGGGAAAGAUGUUGGGUUAUUCCACAUGAUCACCCAAACUCGAAACUAUUCUUUGUUUUAUCACUAAUAAGUACUAUAAGCUUUAAUUAAAACUCUAGGUUAAUAACCAUGAAGCGAAAAGUCAGGAGAAUAUAUAACACAUAGGAAGAAUAUAUUUCGCUGCUAUGAUUUGCAAAUUCAACUCACGGCAAAACUACAUACAUAUUGUUUGUUCCUCUUGCAUUUGCAUCAAGGCUCACCUUUGAAUCGAACCUGCUAUUUUUUAUUCCCUCUAUAUGUGAAUGAGUGGCUCAGAGCCUGAAAAACUUUGACUUCCAGGAAAACUAAACCCAAAUUCCUGUGUAGUCGUUGUGAUUGUUAUCACGCAAUGCGUGCAAGAUUCCCUAUAGGCAAGAUACUGGCAUCGACACGAAAGCAAAAAAGCGAAGGUUGUUCUUAUCUUGUGUUAAAUAUACUGAUAAAAUGCAAAAGAAAUUCUGUAUUGUUCUUGGACGUCAGUGAACGAUAAAUACAAGUUUCACGAACCUUUUUACAUACUUAAAUUUCCCGUGACGAGCCUUCGGCUCGAGGUGGUAAAACUGCUUUCAUAUGACAUCGCAUAAAUACCAGCAUAUAGAUAAAUCUUAGAAUUAUUUGCCAGGUAUUGUUGUAAAACGAUAAA
This is a long non-coding RNA of Nematostella vectensis (starlet sea anemone), 1791 nucleotides long. RefSeq lists it as uncharacterized. The transcript has 2 exons. The record is from RefSeq and is a predicted model, not a curated record. Lineage: Eukaryota; Metazoa; Cnidaria; Anthozoa; Actiniaria; Edwardsiidae.